UCACACCCGUUCCCAUCCCGAACACGGUAGUUAAGCUUCUCUGCGCCAAUGGUAGUUGGGGGCUUCCCCCUGCGAGAGUAGGUCGCUGCCGGGC
Molecule: ribosomal RNA, 94 nt
Filed under: Listeria monocytogenes
Lineage: Bacteria; Bacillati; Bacillota; Bacilli; Caryophanales; Listeriaceae
Source: RNAcentral